GCUUCCACUCUCUCUCUACAUUAAUCCCUUCCUUUCCCUCUAUUCCUUUCCCGUUUUGCUCUCUCUCAGCUCUCAAGCACCCUCUCUCUCCCCCAAUCCUAUCGCGCGAGCGCACUCGCGAGCCCGGUGCCUCGCCUCCCCACCAAGCCCUAACCCUAACCUAGGAUCCCGGCGGCAGCGGCGGCGGCGGCGGUGGCGGCGGGAGCCAUGGCGGGUAACGGCGGCGACGCCUUCGCGGAAGAGGCCGAGCCCACGGUCACCAUCGGCGAGUACAUCGAGGGCAUCGAGGCCGAGGAGCUGGAGGCGGAUUUGGUGCUGGGCGGGGACGAAGGCAAGGAGUGCACCUACGGCGGCGGCUACCUCAAGCGCCAGGCCGUCUUCUCCUGCCUCACAUGCGUGCCCGACGGAGUCGCCGGGGUCUGCACCGCCUGCAGCCUCGCCUGCCACGACGGCCAUGAGGUUGUUGAACUUUGGACAAAACGAAAGUUUCGUUGUGACUGUGGCAACUCAAAGUUUGGUGGUCGCUUUUGCAAACUUUGCCCUGAGAAAGAUUCUGAGAAUCAAGAAAAUUCUUAUAACCAUAACUUCAAAGGUUCUUAUUGCACAUGUGGUAGGCCUUAUCCUGAUCCAGAAGCCAAAGAGCAAGUUGAGAUGAUACAGUGCUGUAUUUGUGAGGAUUGGUUUCACGAGGAUCAUAUUGGUCUUAACUCUAUUAAACAGGUACCACGAGAUGAGGAAGGGGAGCCACUCUACGAGGAUUUUAUAUGCCAUAAAUGCUCACCUGUUUGCUAUUUCUUGAAGUUGUAUCCAGAUGCAAUUUGGGCUUCUAGUGAGCAGAAUUCUGCACCACAAGCCGAUACAAGUGGUCCAAAUGUGAUGGAAGGAGGACCUUCAAGUCAUGAUAGCACCGAGAAACAUGAAAAUAGUACUCUUGAUCAUAUGGAUAGCGAGAAGACCUAUAUUGAGGAUAAUUGUGUGAAGGAUAUAUCAGUUCCUCAGAAAGCCAAUUUUGAUAACAGUUCUGGUAGCAACUGCAAGAUAGGAAUGGAUAUAACUGCAACUUCAGCUGAUUCAGAGAAAAAUAUGCCUUUUUUCAUGUCUAAAGGAUGGAGAGAUACUCUAUGUAGAUGCGAAAGAUGCACCAACUUCUACGCGCAACGAGGUAUUGCAUAUCUUACUGACAAGGAGGACUCUAUUGAGGAAUAUGAGAAGAUUGCCAAACAGAAGAGGGGGAAGAAGUUGGAGCAGCAGGAAGGAGCCGAGACAAACUUUCUCAAUUCACUUAACCAUGUUCAGAAGAUAGAAAUCUUGAGUGGCAUUAAUGAUAUGAAGAAUGAGUUUCAGUCCUUUCUGGUAACAAUCUCCUCUUAAUUGAUAAGUGAAUAUCCCAUACAAGCGAAACUUAAAGAAUUUGAGUACCUGAUACUCCUUGCUAAAACAUAUGGCAACCAAUCAAAGAAGUGAACACGGACAUUUUCUGAAACACUACUCAAAGAGACAUUCUUAAGAGCAUCUGGAAUCAUUCGAUUCAUCAAAACCAGUAACAUCUGAAGACAUACGAGCUGUUUUCGAGAAUCUUGCUAAGAAGAAACAGAGGUUAUCUUGACCUCUAUUACUUUCCUGAGGCAGAUACUCCGCCGCUGGAUAAUGUAGGCCCAAGUUGGGUACACUAAACUCUCGAGUUGUUAUCUAGGUGCUAGUGGACUUCCUUGUGUAAUGUUGCUAGCUGUACAAGUUUCCCCUGAGGCCUUGUCUUGAGGGGAUAAAACCCUGGUCCAUCCAUGUGGAUUCGCAGGAUUUCAGUUAAGUUUCAUGGCCUAUCCACGUGGAUAAGUCAGUUGAAUGGUCACCAGCGUAUAUCACUGAAAAAAAAAUCCCUCUGGUUUCUAAAAACUGUGGUGUUACACGGAUGACUGUUACCGUGGUUUUCUUUUUUCUUUUUCCCUGCGAAGAUUAUUACAAGGAUCACUAUUACCAUGGCUUUCUAAAAGCUGUGGUAUUGCAUGGAUAACUGUUACCACC
Phragmites australis (common reed) is the source of this 2022-nucleotide RNA transcript. RefSeq lists it as uncharacterized. Lineage: Eukaryota; Viridiplantae; Streptophyta; Magnoliopsida; Poales; Poaceae. The record is from RefSeq and is a predicted model, not a curated record. The transcript is spliced from 5 exons.